CGGCAAUAGCUCAAAUUUGAAAUCUGGCUCUUUCAGGGUCCGAGUUGUAAUUUGCAGAGGGCGCUUUGGCGUCGGCAGCAGCCUAAGUUCCUUGGAACAGGUCAUCAUAGAGGGUGAGAGCCCCGU
This 126-nucleotide ribosomal RNA is filed under the name Pleosporales sp. RNAcentral describes it as "partial large subunit ribosomal RNA". It matches the Rfam family "Eukaryotic large subunit ribosomal RNA", at positions 99 to 224 of the family's 3401-position model. The record is from RNAcentral. Lineage: Eukaryota; Fungi; Ascomycota; Dothideomycetes; Pleosporales.